CAUGUCCUUUUGGUUAUAAUUUAAGGUCUAGUCUGCCCAAUGAUUAAUAUUUUAAAUGGCUGCAGUAUAUUAACUGUACAAAGGUAGCAUAAUCAUUAGUUUUUUAAUUGAAAACUGGUAUGAAUGGCUGGAUGAGAAAACUUCUGUCUCAAUUUAAUUUAUUUUGAAUUUUAUUUUUGAGUUAAAAAGCUCAAAUUUUUUAAUAAGACGAGAAGACCCUUUAGAGUUUAAUAUAUAAUUGUAUAUUUUUAAUUAAGUAUUUAUUUAUUUUAUAUUUUUAUAUAUUUUGUUGGGGUGACAAUAAAAUUUAUUUAACUUUUAUUAUUUAUUUAUCACUAAUGAGUGUUUAUUUGAUCCUAUUUUUUAGAUUAAAAGAAAAAAUUACCUAAGGGAUAACAGCGUAAUUUUUCUUGAGAGUUCUAAUCGAAAGAAGAGAUUGCGACCUCGAUGUUGGAUUAAAAUUUAUGUUUGGUGCAGUAGCUAAACAAUUAGGUCUGUUCGACCUUUAAAAUUUUACAUGAUCUGAGU
RNAcentral lists this ribosomal RNA (528 nucleotides) under Macrosiagon bimaculatum. RNAcentral describes it as "partial 16S ribosomal RNA". It matches the Rfam family "Bacterial large subunit ribosomal RNA", at positions 1816 to 2610 of the family's 2925-position model. Lineage: Eukaryota; Metazoa; Arthropoda; Insecta; Coleoptera; Ripiphoridae. The record is from RNAcentral.